Molecule: non-coding RNA, 409 nt
Organism: Nicotiana tabacum (common tobacco)
Lineage: Eukaryota; Viridiplantae; Streptophyta; Magnoliopsida; Solanales; Solanaceae
Source: RefSeq, a predicted model, not a curated record
GCCUUAAUUUAGAGAGAUUAGAGGAGAAAGAAAACCCUUCCACCACAUAUCAGAAGAGAGCCAAAAAUCGAUUAAGGCACUGUCUCUUUAGCUGCUUCCGCCGCGUCAUCAAAUGCCAUCUUCGCCAAUUUAAGUACCCAAUAUACAGUUCAUACCAACAAGGUGUAUGAAAUCUAUACCGCUGCGAUCUAAGUUCCUCGUCGCCCAAAACCUAACUGCUCAAAGUUGGACAAAGUUACUUCUAUCCGUGCUGAAUUGAAGUGGCUCAUUAUUAUUGCCAAAUUAUGAUGACAAAUACAAAGGUCUUGCUGCUACGUACGAUAUCGAUUGCAGGAACUAGCUAGUAAGAAGAGCAAGUACCUAUUAUCCAGAGCUACGACCAAUAGAGCAUCCUCUCUUGAAGGCUAAU